GCCGGGCGCGGUGGUGGGCGCCUGUAGUCCCAGCUACUCGGGAGGCUGAGGCAGGAGAAUGGCAUGAACCCAGGAGGUGGAGCGUGCAGUGAGCUGAGAUCGCGCCACUGCACUCCAGCCUGGGCAACAGUGCAAGAUUCCGUCUCAA
Papio anubis (olive baboon) is the source of this 148-nucleotide unclassified non-coding RNA. It matches the Rfam family "Metazoan signal recognition particle RNA". Rfam says of the family: The signal recognition particle (SRP) is a universally conserved ribonucleoprotein. It is involved in the co-translational targeting of proteins to membranes. The eukaryotic SRP consists of a 300-nucleotide 7S RNA and six proteins: SRPs 72, 68, 54, 19, 14, and 9. Lineage: Eukaryota; Metazoa; Chordata; Mammalia; Primates; Cercopithecidae. The record is from Ensembl.